This 304-nucleotide ribosomal RNA is filed under the name uncultured bacterium. RNAcentral's name for it is "partial 16S ribosomal RNA". It matches the Rfam family "Bacterial small subunit ribosomal RNA", at positions 506 to 807 of the family's 1533-position model. The record is from RNAcentral.
CAGCAGCCGCCGCGGGAAUACGUAGGGUGCAAGCGUUAAUCGGAAUUACUGGGCGUAAAGCGUGCGCAGGCGGUUAUAUAAGACAGAUGUGAAAUCCCCGGGCUCAACCUGGGAACUGCAUUUGUGACUGUAUAGCUAGAGUACGGCAGAGGGGGAUGGAAUUCCGCGUGUAGCAGUGAAAUGCGUAGAUAUGCGGAGGAACACCGAUGGCGAAGGCAAUCCCCUGGGCCUGUACUGACGCUCAUGCACGAAAGCGUGGGGAGCAAACAGGAUUAGAUACCCCGGUAGUCCCUGUCUCUUAUAC